UGGACCGGUGGCCCAGUCUGGAUAAGGCGACGGACUUCUAAUCCGUAGAUCGAGGGUUCAAAUCCCUCCCGGCCCGU
RNAcentral lists this transfer RNA (77 nucleotides) under Methanobrevibacter arboriphilus. Its description in RNAcentral is "tRNA-Arg". It matches the Rfam family "tRNA". From Rfam's summary of the family: Transfer RNA (tRNA) molecules are approximately 80 nucleotides in length. Their secondary structure includes four short double-helical elements and three loops (D, anti-codon, and T loops). The record is from RNAcentral. Lineage: Archaea; Methanobacteriati; Methanobacteriota; Methanobacteria; Methanobacteriales; Methanobacteriaceae.